UACGUAGGGUGCGAGCGUUGUCCGGAAUUAUUGGGCGUAAAGGGCUCGUAGGCGGUUUGUCGCGUCGGGAGUGAAAUCCACUGGCUUAACUGGUGGCUUGCUUUCGAUACGGGCAGACUAGAGUGUGGUAGGGGAGACUGGAAUUCCUGGUGUAGCGGUGGAAUGCGCAGAUAUCAGGAGGAACACCGAUGGCGAAGGCAGGUCUCUGGGCCACUACUGACGCUGAGAAGCGAAAGCAUGGGGAGCGAACAGG
RNAcentral lists this ribosomal RNA (253 nucleotides) under uncultured bacterium. RNAcentral describes it as "partial 16S ribosomal RNA". It matches the Rfam family "Bacterial small subunit ribosomal RNA", at positions 524 to 776 of the family's 1533-position model. The record is from RNAcentral.